Molecule: ribosomal RNA, 1576 nt
Filed under: Lactiplantibacillus plantarum
Lineage: Bacteria; Bacillati; Bacillota; Bacilli; Lactobacillales; Lactobacillaceae
Description: 16S ribosomal RNA
Rfam family: Bacterial small subunit ribosomal RNA
Source: RNAcentral
UUAAUUUGAGAGUUUGAUCCUGGCUCAGGACGAACGCUGGCGGCGUGCCUAAUACAUGCAAGUCGAACGAACUCUGGUAUUGAUUGGUGCUUGCAUCAUGAUUUACAUUUGAGUGAGUGGCGAACUGGUGAGUAACACGUGGGAAACCUGCCCAGAAGCGGGGGAUAACACCUGGAAACAGAUGCUAAUACCGCAUAACAACUUGGACCGCAUGGUCCGAGUUUGAAAGAUGGCUUCGGCUAUCACUUUUGGAUGGUCCCGCGGCGUAUUAGCUAGAUGGUGGGGUAACGGCUCACCAUGGCAAUGAUACGUAGCCGACCUGAGAGGGUAAUCGGCCACAUUGGGACUGAGACACGGCCCAAACUCCUACGGGAGGCAGCAGUAGGGAAUUUUCCACAAUGGACGAAAGUCUGAUGGAGCAACGCCGCGUGAGUGAAGAAGGGUUUCGGCUCGUAAAACUCUGUUGUUGAAGAAGAACAUAUCUGAGAGUAACUGUUCAGGUAUUGACGGUAUUUAACCAGAAAGCCACGGCUAACUACGUGCCAGCAGCCGCGGUAAUACGUAGGUGGCAAGCGUUGUCCGGAUUUAUUGGGCGUAAAGCGAGCGCAGGCGGUUUUUUAAGUCUGAUGUGAAAGCCUUCGGCUCAACCGAAGAAGUGCAUCGGAAACUGGGAAACUUGAGUGCAGAAGAGGACAGUGGAACUCCAUGUGUAGCGGUGAAAUGCGUAGAUAUAUGGAAGAACACCAGUGGCGAAGGCGGCUGUCUGGUCUGUAACUGACGCUGAGGCUCGAAAGUAUGGGUAGCAAACAGGAUUAGAUACCCUGGUAGUCCAUACCGUAAACGAUGAAUGCUAAGUGUUGGAGGGUUUCCGCCCUUCAGUGCUGCAGCUAACGCAUUAAGCAUUCCGCCUGGGGAGUACGGCCGCAAGGCUGAAACUCAAAGGAAUUGACGGGGGCCCGCACAAGCGGUGGAGCAUGUGGUUUAAUUCGAAGCUACGCGAAGAACCUUACCAGGUCUUGACAUACUAUGCAAAUCUAAGAGAUUAGACGUUCCCUUCGGGGACAUGGAUACAGGUGGUGCAUGGUUGUCGUCAGCUCGUGUCGUGAGAUGUUGGGUUAAGUCCCGCAACGAGCGCAACCCUUAUUAUCAGUUGCCAGCAUUAAGUUGGGCACUCUGGUGAGACUGCCGGUGACAAACCGGAGGAAGGUGGGGAUGACGUCAAAUCAUCAUGCCCCUUAUGACCUGGGCUACACACGUGCUACAAUGGAUGGUACAACGAGUUGCGAACUCGCGAGAGUAAGCUAAUCUCUUAAAGCCAUUCUCAGUUCGGAUUGUAGGCUGCAACUCGCCUACAUGAAGUCGGAAUCGCUAGUAAUCGCGGAUCAGCAUGCCGCGGUGAAUACGUUCCCGGGCCUUGUACACACCGCCCGUCACACCAUGAGAGUUUGUAACACCCAAAGUCGGUGGGGUAACCUUUUAGGAACCAGCCGCCUAAGGUGGGACAGAUGAUUAGGGUGAAGUCGUAACAAGGUAGCCGUAGGAGAACCUGCGGCUGGAUCACCUCCUUUCUAAGGAA